This 146-nucleotide small RNA is filed under the name Kluyvera cryocrescens. Its description in RNAcentral is "Short Intergenic Abundant RNA". It matches the Rfam family "Short Intergenic Abundant RNA". Rfam says of the family: This family contains multiple ncRNA from E. coli that were identified in a large scale screen of E. coli, were they were called candidates 43,55 and 61. These RNAs have also been identified by other groups and called QUAD RNAs. Lineage: Bacteria; Pseudomonadati; Pseudomonadota; Gammaproteobacteria; Enterobacterales; Enterobacteriaceae. The record is from RNAcentral.
UUGACUUCGCUGCUUUUUCAACCUACCGUAAAGGAGUUUGGGUAAGGGAGGAUUGCUCUUCCCCCUGGUGUCUUAGUAAGCCGGUAAGCUAAUGACUAAGAGUAUCACCAGUAUGAUGACCCUGUUCAUCAUCACCCUUUCCAUAU